UGGAUAUGUGAUGUUUUUCCGAGGUUUCUGGCAAGUAUCACACCUCUGACCAUGAUCUCAACAGGAGGACUUGAGCCAAAUGUUCCCCCAUUGGUUUUUCUCCUCUAAUAUAUGAGCUUGUAGCAGACCUUAAAUCAUGGUUUGGUAAUGUAUUUAAAGCUAUGACUUUAAUAGUCCUGAAAUGCUCAGUUUUUUUCUAGAAUGAUAAUGAAAUAAAUUGACUAAUAGCUGUGAAUUCUUCAAAACAGAUGUUGGUGGAGGGCUUUUCUCAUUGCACAAAUCCAGGCAGAAAUUCAUACAGAGUACAACCUGGAAGGUGGCCCUGGAGUUGUACAACCAUUCAGCUCUCAAUAGUUAAAGUUUAAGAUAUAUCAGAAGUCAGUGUGUAACCUUUUAUGAUGAGCACUAAAUUUUAUUCUUCAGGAGUAAAAUUAGUUGGUAGCUAUUCAAGAGGUCAUUACAUAAAUUUUAUGAUUUUAUGAAUCCUUAUUUUUGGCAUUUUUAGUGAAAUGGUUUGGUAAGAUGAUUUCCUAACAAGUUUAAACCCAUACAAAUAACUUACAGAUCAUAAUUUUGAAAAUACUCAAAAUCUUGCACAAGAAAUCAUGGAAAUACAUUGCCAUUUCAUAAUCAUCAGUGGGGCACAAGAAGUUUUCAAUAAACUCCAACCUUGCCUGCUCCCUCCUGGUACCAUGCAUAUCUCAUCUAUCAGAUGGCCUUCUCAGUGGAGGAGCGCCUUUGUCUUUAUAAAAGUCACAGAAAAAUAGUAUUGGAAUAGAUUCAGUCUCCUCUGAUACAUCUGGGCCUGUGCCGUACUUGACAUGCACAUAUAUAUAAUGCCUCAUCAUAUUUUUAAUUAUUUCAUUGGAUUAAGCAAAGAAAUGCUUAUUUCUAGAGGCAUUACUAUAUAUUAUGAAAUUCAUAAUUGUUAUUGCAUUAGCUUUAUACUGCUUAACUGCCCAUCAGACAUGUUAUACUUCAGUGAUGGUGAAUGAAAAAUCGGUUGUCAUUAACCCUAACCAGCACUGAGUCUUGUCAUUUUUGCUACUUCUAUUUAAUUUGUACAAAAUAAAAUCCAGAGGCUUAAGUCCUUAAGUAGCUUGAUCACGUGCCUUCUAGUACAGGUUUCAUGAAAAACUCCCUAAUUGAUUCGUAUUUGAAUAUGAAAUUCAGUAUUUGUAUAUCAAAAUGCAGUGGAAAUAUUUUCCCAGAGCACUCUAACACUGAGCAGAAAUUCUUACUCUAGGAGAUCAAGAAUUCAGCUCCUUUCUCUUUGUCUACGUUAUUUCUCUUAUUUUUGAACAUGAUAACUUCUAUUUUCCUUAAAAAAUAAUUUUCAGUAUAGACAAUACUGGAUAAGUAAAUACGCAUUAUUUAUAGGAAGUCUAGUAACUAACAUGUGCUCUAUCUACUAAUCCGAUAGCAAUAGAAAGUGCUCCACAGUGACAAAAACUCAUCAGGAUAUUGCGGAGACACAGGUGGUAAAAUUCAGGAAGUUUAAUAAAAAUUCAUUUUGGGGAGUUUGUCAUGGCUCAGUGGUUAACAAACCCGACUAGUAACCAUGAGGUUGCGGGUUCGAUCCCUGGCCUCACUCAGUGGUUAAGGAUCUGGCAUUACCAAGAACUGUGGUGUAGGCCGGUGGCUACAGCUCCGAUUCGACCUCUAGCCUGGGAACCUCCACAUGCUGCAGGUGCGGCCCUAAAAAGACAAAAAAGAAGACCCCCAAAAAAUUCUUAUUGGAUUAAACAAUAAAAAUGAAAAUAAUAUUCAGUAAGAAACUUCUCAGCAAGACUGAUAAAUUAGAAUGACAUGAGUAGGGAAGAAACUGCAGGAAAGAAUGACAUUAGAUUCCCUUUCUAAUAGAAUUUUUGCUUCAAAAUAAUUCAAUGAAAAAUUUAUGCACAUGUUCACAAGCAUAUGUGCACGUGUACACACACAAACACACACUUUCUCAAAACUCCAAAUAGUGUCUGCAUAAGUUUUUAUCUUUUGCUUGGCAAAACAGAUGUCCACCUUUUUUCAGUCCGUUUCUAAGUCUUGUGUAGUUUAUACAUAUACAUGAUAAACAUUUUAGAUAGGGAUGGCUCAAAUAGUCACAUAUCUCCACAUCAUUUAUUCUCCCAUGUAUUUAACAUAAAUCCUAAUUUUGAAAUUAAUUCCUUUUGCUCCAGUCACCUUUUUUGUUCAGUUUUAUUUAUUCAUUCUGCAAGUUCUAUUAUCAGUGAAAUUGUUAAGUAAAGUGCGAUGUACGAUUGGCUCAAAAGUAUCAGUAGUAUAGCAACUAUUAGAAAGCAUGGUUCUAAUUAUAUUUUUACUGGCAGUCCAAUCUUUAUGUAAGAAAGGCUGUGCCAUAUAUUCUGAUAUGGGUUGCAAUACUUACCAAACAAGGUGGAUGGGUGAGAAGAAGUGUAAUUCAGAAAUAUUCAUACACAGGUAAAUUCUCCACUUCAUAUCUCAUAUUUCUCAAGCAUUCAUUAUUAUUAGAAGCAAGGAUAUAAAUUGCAACUUCUCUGACUCCUUGAGUAUUUAUACAUGGCUGUAGCAUUCCUACUGCCCUAGAGGGAUUUUGUUUCUUAGGCUCCAUUUAUUGAUAGAAUUUUGGAAAAGGUAACUAGCCAACUUAUAAUAAUUUAGAGAACUAGGUUAUUAGCCCCUAAAGUUUACAUAUUCCUGGAUUGAUAGAGUUUCUUGUAUUUCUGUAAAUAAUGAUCAGUGUCCCACUUCUUGCAUAACCAAGAAAUAUCUUAUAGGAUCUAAACCUACUGGGGAUAAGAAUUGUAAACUCUGAACAAUUUUUUUAAAAAAAGAAAUAAUGAUGCUAAAAAUGAACAACAGCAGAAAGAUUUUUUUCAGGAAUAAAAAUCUCAGGGGGGGAAAGGAUAGUUUAGCUCAGAUGAUUUUCUAUUUCUAAAGCUUUUGGUCAAAGAUAUACUGCACAUAUAUCAGCUAAAAUUUUGACAGAAAACCUCAGAACUUUGUGCCUUGAAGAACCAGAGAAGAGACUUAGAGGCAACUAACAGCUGUUUUAAAGUGAGGGUGAGUCAAUAAAAAUGAGAACCAGAGAAAGGAAUCGCUAUAUUUUGUGUUAUAAACUGCCAAAUUUGGUUUCACUCUUGAACCACAUAUACUUCUGAUAGCCUCCAGAAAAGGAUAAAGAGACAAAAAUAAAAUCAUAUUUGAGAAUCAGAAUUUAGAUUCCUGCUAAAUUGCCUGCUAAAAUUACAAAAUUUAAGAUGUUCUGAAAUGAAUAAAACAGAAUACUCAGCCUCCAGCCUCCACAGUAUUUCAUUGCUCAACAUACAUUCCAAAAUAACUCUGCAUAUGAAGAACCAAAAAGAUCUGACCCAUUUCAAAUAGGAAAAAACAAUCCCGAGACAAUCCAUAUAUUAUAAUUAGCAGGCAAGUAUUUUAUAGCAAUUAUAAAAAUAUUCCAGGAUAUAAGAGAAAGUAUGCUCACAAUGAAUAAACAGGAACUAGAAAAGAAAUGGAAACUAUAAAAGGAAACAAAUGGGCAUUAUUUACAUGAAAAACACAAUAUAUGAAAUUUAAAAAGGAAACCCAACAAAUAAUAUGGGCAAGAGAAAGUCAGCAAAAUUUGAGAGAAAAAAUAGAAAAAUUGAAAAAAACAAAUGAAAACCAAAGCCUCAAGAAUGUGUGGAGCUACAACAAAAGAUCUAACAUAUGUGUAACUGGAGUCCCAGUAGAAGAUAGGAGAAAGAAUUGAGCAGAUGAUGUAUUUGAAGAAAUAAUAUCCAUUAUUAUAUUCAUUUUGUAAAAUAUGUAAAUCUAAAGAUACACAAAGUUUUGCAAAUAUCAUGCAGGAUAAAUAUGAAGAAAAUUAUGCUCAAGGCACAUCAUAGUCAGAACAUUAAAUGCUAAGAAUAUAAAAAAACUUG
Molecule: long non-coding RNA, 3896 nt
Filed under: Sus scrofa (pig)
Lineage: Eukaryota; Metazoa; Chordata; Mammalia; Artiodactyla; Suidae
Description: lncRNA (ENSSSCG00030004910.1)
Source: RNAcentral